RNAcentral lists this small RNA (227 nucleotides) under Pan troglodytes (chimpanzee). RNAcentral describes it as "processed transcript". Lineage: Eukaryota; Metazoa; Chordata; Mammalia; Primates; Hominidae. The record is from RNAcentral.
CACGGGGUGCGGACCAGAAAGAACAGACGGUCAGUCGGGCGGGGAAGGAAGUUGCCGAGUUGCAGAGGCUGCCUACCACAAGGAAUUUAGCUUACUUUUUAAAGAUUGAAGAAAAAAAAGAAGACAGAAAAAGAAGAACUCAAAGAUACACAAAGUAAUUUGAACCAAGGCUCAGAAGUUUUUGGAGCCGUGAGGGAUACAGCAGUUUGGUCAAUAUUGUCUUAACA